Molecule: ribosomal RNA, 496 nt
Filed under: uncultured bacterium
Lineage: Bacteria
Description: bacterial SSU rRNA
Rfam family: Bacterial small subunit ribosomal RNA
Source: RNAcentral
GAUGAACGCUAGCGGCAGGCUUAACACAUGCAAGUCGAGGGGCAGCAUGAGACGGAGAUUCGUCGAAGUCUUGAUGGCGACCGGCGCAAGGGUGCGUAACGCGUGAGCAACUUGCCCGUUUCUGGGGAAUAACCGGUGGAAACGCCGACUAAUACCCCAUAGUAUUGAUUUGAGGCAUCUCUUAUCAAUUAAAGAAAUUCGGAAACGGAUAGGCUCGCGUGACAUUAGCUAGAUGGCGGGGUAACGGCCCACCAUGGCGACGAUGUCUAGGGGUUCUGAGAGGAAGGUCCCCCACACUGGAACUGAGACACGGUCCAGACUCCUACGGGAGGCAGCAGUGAGGAAUAUUGGUCAAUGGUCUGACGACUGAACCAGCCAUGCCGCGUGAAGGUCACGGCCCUAUGGGUCUUAAACUUCUUUUGUAAGGGAGCAAUAAGUCUCACGUGUGGGAUGAUGAGAGUACCUUACGAAUAAGCAUCGGCUAACUCCGUGCCAG